AAUAGAUACCCGGGUAGUCCACGCCGUAAACUAUGAUUACUCGAUGUCGGCGAUAUACUGUCGGUGUCCAAGCGAAAGUGAUAAGUAAUCCACCUGGGGAGUACGAUCGCAAGGUUGAAACUCAAAGGAAUUGACGGGGGCCCGCACAAGCGGUGGAGCAUGUGGUUUAAUUCGAUGAUACGCGAGGAACCUUACCUGGGCUUGAAUGCAUUAUGACCGUCCCGGAAACGGGACUUUCUUCGGACAGAAUGCAAGGUGCUGCAUGGUUGUCGUCAGCUCGUGCUGUGAGGUGUCGGGUUAAGUCCCAUAACGAGCGCAACCCCUAUUCUUAGUUGCCCAGCGGGUAAUGCCGGGGACUCUAAGAAAACUGCCCGCGUAAGCGGUGAGGAAGGUGGGGAUGACGUCAAAGUCAUCACGGCCCUUACGUCCAGGGCUACACACGUGCUACAAUGGUCAGUCAAAGGGCAGCUACCUGGUGACAGGAUGCUAAUCUCGAAAACUGAUCUCAGUUCGGAUCGAAGUCUGCAACUCGUAC
RNAcentral lists this ribosomal RNA (535 nucleotides) under uncultured bacterium. Its description in RNAcentral is "bacterial SSU rRNA". It matches the Rfam family "Bacterial small subunit ribosomal RNA", at positions 777 to 1316 of the family's 1533-position model. The record is from RNAcentral.